Molecule: antisense RNA, 861 nt
Filed under: Pongo abelii (Sumatran orangutan)
Lineage: Eukaryota; Metazoa; Chordata; Mammalia; Primates; Hominidae
Rfam family: ZNFX1 antisense RNA 1 conserved region 1 (bases 248-445)
Source: RNAcentral
CGGGGGCCCAGAGUGGAGAGCGCGAGGGCCUGGCCCAGGCACGGCCGGCGCCUCAGCCCUCGAGGAGGGCGUCACCUCAGCUCCCCCCGGCGGCGGAGCCGGUGGGCUCAGGCGGGCGCGGCUGAGGGGAGCGGACCGCGUGGGGCGGGAUGACUGCGCCCAAGGCCUUUGCGGGCCUCAGCCGGCCCCAGAGGAAGGGGGACCCGUCGAGCGGUUCGGUGCGUGUGAAGCGCGACAUGGCGGGGAAGCGGACAAGGCCGGGUGGCCUGGCGUCUACAGGGAAGGGGGCGGGACUAGACGCGGCCUUGACAACUAGUAGAGCGCCUCGGGCUGUGCGGCUCGAGACUACAUUUCCCAGGGGGCCCCGCGCGGAGCGGGCGGAAAAGAGAGCGUUUCGGGUCCAGUGCGCAGGUGCGAAAGCCAUCUUUGGUUAUAUAAGGGAGGUUCAGGAGGCCAUUCGUUCUUUCGCGUCCGCGGCGCUGUGAGUGUGGUGGUUCCGCAGGUUGCAGUCAGGCUUCGUACGCUAUUGUCCUUCCCGUUAGAGCAGCCAGCGGGUACAGAAUGGAUUUUGGAGGAGGGAGUCACCACUGGACCUCCAAGGAAGCCACGUGCAGACAUCUACAACCUUCGAUCUCUUGACGAAAACUGGCGAUGGUAUAUGAGAGGAGCCCUCUGGAAAGAAAAGGACAGACCCUGUGCUUUCAUGAAAGUGAAGAUCUGGCUGAACCAGUUCCACAAGGUUACUGUAUACAUAGCCUGAGUUUAAAAGGCUGUGCCCAUUUGAAGAAUGUCAUUGUUAGACUUUGGUGAAAUUUCUAACUGCCUACCUGGAUAAAGAAAAUAAAAUCUUUUAAAUCAAAA